Molecule: RNA transcript, 4768 nt
Organism: Chrysemys picta bellii (western painted turtle)
Lineage: Eukaryota; Metazoa; Chordata; Testudines; Emydidae
Source: RefSeq, a predicted model, not a curated record
CCAACACCCACCCCAGAGAGCUGGAAGAGAACCUGUCCCGCUGCUGAGGGAGGAGGGGCAGCUCAGUGCAGAGAGAGACAAAGAGAAUGGGCUAGAACCAGGUAGGUACCUGCUCUAUGUAGGCAGGGUCGGGGGGAUCCUGUUUAUCCCCUCCCCGGCCCUGCUGUGUUUGCAGAUUACCCCUGGUCCCCCCCUUGCUCCAGGGACUAACCCUAGCUCCUGCCCCACUGUGUUUUUGCCCCCAGACCCUUUUACAAUCAUUCCCCAGGGGGGCCCACAAAUGUUUGGCGUCGCGCUCACAAAAAGUUAAUCCGGCCCUGUGACUGAUGCGCUGGCUGGUGCCAUGGUCUGGGCGGCUGUGGUGCUCCCCCGUCUUCUGCUGCUCUGGGCCCCGGGGCUGUGGCUGCCCUUCAACUCCCCACUGCCCUUUGACUGCUUGCCGCCCCCAAAAGCCACCCGGAUGGGGGCACCUGGCUCUUGGGGAGUAUCCACCGUGGGCGGCAGGAGCCUGGGGCAGAGUGGGUCUGUUUGGAUUGCCAUGGGGCAUCCUGGACCCUCUGCCUGCUCUGUGCGGUGCAGACAGUGAGUGGGGACUUCUGCGAUGCUGCUGGUGGUGGCACUGUCUUCAGAGCUGGGCAGCCAAAGAGCUAGCCAGUCAGGCUAAUGCAGUGUGUUUCUCUUGCAGCAACAGUGACACCCAGUGGCAAUCAAUGGUACUGCACAGAGUAUGGUGUUUUGCAUGGAGCAACAGUGGCACCUGGUGCACAGUCAAGCUUCUCUUGCAGAGAUGUAAACUGACGCUCUUCCGCUGCGCGGUGUUUCUCGGGUGGGCUCAUUUGAAGAGGCUGUUCCGCAGCAUGACCUGGGUUGGCUCCUCACAGCUACAAAGUGAGUCUGGAAGUGCUUGGAAAGACUAUCUGCCAUUACUGCGACUUGUUGUCUGAAACAGUGAAUGAAGAUGGCAUCUCCCGCCUGUAUGAAGCUUUUCAGGAAGUGCCUUUGAAAUCUGACAGGACCACGUGGCACAUCCUCAGUACACAUUACAAGUGGUUGCAGAAGCUUGGAAAUCUUGCGUGGGGUUCUGCAUUCAACUAGGGAACCGGAACCGACACAGAAGACCUCUUUGUCCUGCUAUGCUACGUACAACAGACGUUUAUCAACUCUUUGGAACAGGGGCUGAACGGUGAGGUGGCUAUUUGCAGAUGACACAAAAUUAUGUAGGUUAGUCGAGCCUAGAGAAGACUUUGAAGCAGUUGAAAGAGAUCUAAUAAAGCCAUGUGACUGGGCAGCACAAUGGCAGAUGAAAGUCAGUGCUGACAAAUACAGGGUCAUACACACGUGAGGCCUGGUGCUACUUCUCCCUGAGGGAUUUUAUAGCUAACUGGCUGGCUGGGUGUCAAUAAAAAGGAGCUCCCCCCCCCUUCAUUUAUCACAGGAACAAACCGUUUUAAAAAGUUUUUCCCUAUGCUUUUGGUGAGGACAAUUUGAAGCUGCAGCAAAAGCAGCAUCUGUGAGCCACUGGAUCAUAGAGAGAUAAAAAGAUUGCUUCUUCCCCUUCUUUUUAACAAAUAGAGGCGAAAGGUCUAUUAAGCUUUCAUUUUCUUAGGACUAUUAGAUUUAAGUAUGGAUUUUUCUGUUGCAUUAUCAGAAUGUCUUUGUCUUUAAAUAUUUGCAACCUGCGUGAUGAGACACAGGUACAAGCUCUUGUGUUUGUUUUGGGUCCAUAGAUUUUAUUAAAAUAAUACAUCGCAGGCUGGAGCUGCGGCUUUCUCUAUAUUUUAAAAACAGAUGACUAGGCUAGCCAGUCUUCCAUGCACUAUAGUCUCUAGGAAACACCCCUUCAGUUUGCUUGUUUUUUUUAAACAGACGACUUUCCUAACUUUUUAAACGCUGUUAAAGUUUUAACCAAUGGUGAGAUUAUAUUGAAAGACACUUUAUGAAAGGUAUAACAAGUAUUUUAUUCCAUUGACUGAUUGUAAAAGACAAAACUCAUCGCUUUGUGACUGCAUGAAGCUCAGAGAUAGCCCAUCUGAAGAACUCCCCCCACCUCUUGACUUCCCCCCAUACUUUUAACACAUGCUAAACAUGUUUCAUUAUAUUAAAUAGUGUUUUUUUUUUAACAUUUAACAUGAAAAUGCAGCAUUGACUGAGAUGUAACAUAGCACGACCUUUUAAAAGGAUAAUCUGUAUGCAGUGAGGCCUAUUUGAAGCAUUUUUUUUUUAAAGUUUAACAUGAAAAAGCAGUAUAGACUGAGCUGUACUAAAACAAGGCCCCUCUUAGGGAUCUUUUGUAGAAGUUUAGUGAACUAAAAAGGCUUAAGAUACUAGCCUAUCCUUUUUAAAAUAGUGUUUUUAACGUACCAAAACAGCAACUGGGCAAGAAUAUGAAAACUGGCAACUGAAGGGAGUUUACAUAUGUGUUUUAACAAAAAACCAAAAUUAACCAAAAAAUACACAAGAUUGCUUUUUAAAUUUUGGAUUUAUACAAAAAACACAAGAAAAAAUAGCUUAUGUAAAAACGUUAGCUGUUUUUUACCAGAGAUCAGGCAUCUGCCUCCCCCUCCCCGCCCCCUUCUUCUUUUCUAAUGUUUUUUAAAAUCUAAACCGAGGACGAACAAAUUUUUUAAAAAAUGCCACCGCCACAGAGAUCAGGCCAUGGGUGUAAGAAAGCUCUCUUGAGUUUUAGAGGGAAAGUUGAUAACACUUUUAGUGAAACAGUUUUGUAGGCAGCCAUUCUGUGUUAGUUGUUCUGCUUUAGCACGGGCAAGCGUUUGUCAUUCGGAAACACUUUCACACUUUAUGAGGUAUUAUCUCCCCCAUCCUAUGGCCUAUCAGAAAUAUUAACAAAAACAAACUUAAAGAUACUUUUUAGCAGUGCCUGCAAAGCAACAAUUACAAUUUUGUUUAUCAUUAUCUUCUCUAAGGCCCUAGAGAAUAUUUUUUUUUAUAAAACACAUUUUUGCAAGCUGUAACCUUAGAUGCUGUUCAGAAUUAAAUAAUAUGAACAGGUAGAUGAGAAAUCUGAGACGUUGAAAUCACAGGUGUCAUGAUUAAGUCCUAAUGCAGAGGGCCUGGGGGGGUGGGGGAAUAAAAAGAUACAGCCGAAGCGGAGGAUGGUAUGAUUUAAGAGGGGUUCUGGGGCUGCUUUGCAAUGGUCCAGAUUCCCCAACAGCCUAUAUCCCUCAUACACAAGCGCCAGGGUAGGGUGCGGUAGGGUGCGGUGGGUGAGUCUUUAUGAGCGGCCUGCUCCUCUAAGAAACUACUUCUUGUUGUUGACAAACUGUAACCUAACUAUAUGUAUACUAUGGAGGCAACCCACUUUUCUUUGGACAAACCCCACACCUCUUGAACUCCAUAAAAACAUGUUUCACACUAUUAUUUUCAACUGACAUUUUAUUUAAAACAUGCAUUUUUUAUUUUGUUUUACAACACGUGUUUUGUUCCCAAAACAUGCUCUAACUUUUACUGUUUUUUCUUAGCAAGAUUUUGUAAUUUGCUGAAGGAGGAAGAGGCUCAACAUUUAGCAUUAAACAUUUAUCUGUCAGUUUGAUCAUUUAAUCAAAAAUGCUAUUUGGAUCCUCGGCCUCUGUUACUUUGUCCACCAAUUCUGCCCCUAGGGCUAAAUGUUCCUGGAUUAAACACAGGCACUGCAGCACGUAUCCCAACAGGAUAAUUUUAUUUAACACACGCUCCAUAUACAAACUACCCGCUAAUUUCUUUAAUUUUACAGUUCACAUCAUCUAAAGACCAGUACCUGCAGUCGUGAUGCCUCUGACCGGGGGCAUCUGUGGUGCACCCAGGACAAUCCUCAUUUUGUUUCUCUCUCAGGCAGUGCUUGAUGAUUCCGUGCACAGGUGCUCGCACAGUUGCAUCCAUCACCGCUUUAUGGUUAUGAACUCACACAGGUUUAAUACCAAAUUUCUCCCUCAAUUUUAGAUAGUAUAGGCCUAUAGAAUAAGCAUCCCCCUCUGUUUCAGCAUUCUGUUGAGCAUCUGGUUUUGGGUAUGGGCAAAACCAGAUAGGGCUCAAUCCGCUUGUCCCUUCGGAGCUGUCGGUGUCCAGAACCUCCAAGUCCUCUGAAGAACCAUCGCUCAGCUGCUGAAAAAUGUACAGUAAGAAAUACGUAGAAGGCAUCUUUGUACUUUUUCAUAACAUGAUUUUAAAACCUUUUACACUGUGUGUCAAGCGACUCCUUCCACAUGCAGCUUUUAAAAACAACAAUAAAUGCAAUCUCUGUGCAGGCUUGAUCCAAAAGGCUCUAGCCAACUGAGCACUGGUGACCGGGUCCCUGCCAAACCAAUCCUUGAACGUUCUUGCAUACAAUGUAUCAGGGCCUCGUCUCCGUACAGCCCUUUGUUUGAAUUGUUUGGGUUCUCCUGCCCAGGAUCCGGAGUCUCAAACAAAUCUUGGCCCAGCGGUCUGGCCUCAUGUUUCGCCACCACAUUGUUCUUGAGGGUACAGCCAUCAUUAGCGAUCCCUGUUUCCCCACUCCCAUGACCCGUCUCAAACACUGUUUGCCAAAACAGUAUGUUUGUUUCUUCAGGUCCCAUAGCAGCACCCGUAUAACACCUCUUCAUGAAAGGCUUGACGGCCAGUGUUGGCCAAGGCCUUCUAGGUUCAGCCAUCUUUAAUCAUCAGACCCAUUUAACUAGAAGCUCCUCCUUACUUUAGCCAGGCUGUAUGAUAUUCUUAACCAAUAAUUUAGGGCUGACGUUGCUCUCCCUCCCUGUAGACGAGCGGACUCACCCCUGCAGCACCUCCUGCUGGU